GUGCUUCAGCAGCACAUAUACUAAAAUUGGAAUGAUACAGAGAUUAGCACGGCCUCUGCACAAGGAUGAUGUGCAAAUUCGUGAAGCAUUUCAUAUUUGU
RNAcentral lists this small nuclear RNA (100 nucleotides) under Vicugna pacos (alpaca). The record is from RNAcentral. Lineage: Eukaryota; Metazoa; Chordata; Mammalia; Artiodactyla; Camelidae.